Molecule: long non-coding RNA, 238 nt
Organism: Carcharodon carcharias (great white shark)
Lineage: Eukaryota; Metazoa; Chordata; Chondrichthyes; Lamniformes; Lamnidae
Exons: 3
Source: RefSeq, a predicted model, not a curated record
GUUUGACUGACGUUGACUGUGUGGCUAUCACAAAGCGUAAAUAAUCAGUAGGCAUUGCUUCCCAAAACAGAAAACGUACAGUGGCUACAGAAAUUCCAUUAAACUUGCCAUUGCUGGAACUGGGUGCCGUUUCCAUGCAUAAUGUUGUACAGUUGCUUCAUCAGCCAAUUGGAAAGCAUAUUAACCAGUGCUAACCAAUAGUGAUAACUAUUCUCUUCAUCCAGGACCUCAGGACUGC